AUUGAACGCUGGCGGAAUGCUAUACACAUGCAAGUCGAACGGUAGAGGGGCAACCCUUGAGAGUGGCGAACGGGUGAGUAAUGUAUCGGAACAUGCCCAGUCGUGGGGGAUAACGUAGCGAAAGUUACGCUAAUACCGCAUACGAUCUAUGGAUGAAAGCGGGGGAUCGCAAGACCUCGCGCGAUUGGAGUGGCCGAUAUCAGAUUAGGUAGUUGGUGGGGUAAAGGCCUACCAAGCCGACGAGCUGUAGCUGGUUUGAGAGGACGACCAGCCCCACUCGGACCGAGACACGGCCCAGACUCAUACGGGAGGAAGCAGUGGGUAAUUUUGGACAAUGGGCGCAAGCCUGAUCCAGCCAUUCCGAGUGCAGGAAGAAGGCCUUCGGGUUGUAAACUGCUUUUGUACGGAACGAAACGCGCUGAGCUAAUACCUCGGCGUAAUGACGGUACCGUAAGAAUAAGCACCGGCUAACUACGUGCCAGCAGCCGCCGUAA
Molecule: ribosomal RNA, 494 nt
Filed under: uncultured bacterium
Lineage: Bacteria
Description: partial 16S ribosomal RNA
Rfam family: Bacterial small subunit ribosomal RNA
Source: RNAcentral